UACGUAGGGGGCGAGCGUUGUCCGGAUUUAUUGGGCGUAAAGAGCGUGUAGGCGGCCAGGUAGGUCUGCUGUGAAAACUCGAGGCUCAACCUCGAGACGUCGGCGGAAACCAUCUGGCUAGAGUCCGGAAGAGGAGAGUGGAAUUCCUGGUGUAGCGGUGAAAUGCGCAGAUAUCAGGAAGAACACCCGUGGCGAAGGCGGCUCUCUGGGACGGUACUGACGCUGAGGCACGAAGGCCAGGGGAGCAAACGGG
Molecule: ribosomal RNA, 253 nt
Filed under: uncultured bacterium
Lineage: Bacteria
Description: partial 16S ribosomal RNA
Rfam family: Bacterial small subunit ribosomal RNA
Source: RNAcentral